Molecule: microRNA precursor, 201 nt
Filed under: Oryza sativa Indica Group (long-grained rice)
Lineage: Eukaryota; Viridiplantae; Streptophyta; Magnoliopsida; Poales; Poaceae
Description: MIR812 microRNA precursor family
Rfam family: MIR812 microRNA precursor family
Source: Rfam by way of RNAcentral
AUUCCGCGCAUAUACUCUCUCUCUCCCAAAAAGACUUUCCCCGUCUUAUAUGAAUUUUUUUAUUAAUAUUUUUAUUAUUAUUAAAUAAUAAAAUAUAAAUAAUACUUUAUGCAUAACUUAUCUUUUUAAAAUUUUUCAUAAUUUUUUAAAAUUAAAUGGACGGUCAAACGUUAGGCACGGAAAUCCAGCGAUUGAGUUUUC